RNAcentral lists this long non-coding RNA (1031 nucleotides) under Nicotiana tabacum (common tobacco). RNAcentral describes it as "long non-coding RNA (NTAB_LNC013557)". Lineage: Eukaryota; Viridiplantae; Streptophyta; Magnoliopsida; Solanales; Solanaceae. The record is from RNAcentral.
UUAGUUUUCAAAAUGAAGAAUUAUUACUUUCUUCCUACUAUGCUAGUACUUUUGCUAAGCCUAGUUUCCCUUUCUAUAGGCAAGUGUUCAAUUUUUUUAUCUUCCAUUUCUAUGUCUUUCUUUUUAGAAUCUUUUUAUUUCAAUCAUUUUUUAAAAGCCAUACCCUAUUUGUUUGUUGGUUUUUCUUUUUCAUACCUUGUUAUAUUUAUUGGUUUUUCCCCUUCAUUUUUGGUGUUUGUGUCAUCAUUUGUACUAAAAGUAAAAAGCAAAAGAUUCUAUAAUAAGCUGAUUUACACAAAUGUCCCCUUUAAGGUUACUGUCUGAAUUUUAUUUCUAUUUUUAAAAGUUGUGUAAAUAUAACCCGUGAGAAAUUGCUCCCUUCCAGGCAAUAUUAGACUCAGGUCUAAUAUUUUCUUGUAUAAUUAUAAUUUUGCUCACAAAACGUUGGAUUGUGAUAUAAUAUUUUUAAUAACUUACAAGGUUUUAGACGGUUGUCUAACGUUUUCUCAUAAUAUUUUCAGUUUGCUCAAAAAAUAUCUUUCGACCAUGGUCUAAAAGAUCCAUCAGUUGCAAGAGAAAUGAAAAAAGGACAGUUUACUGAACAACUUAUACAAAUAUGACGAAUUUCACUCUGCAAUAUCAAAUAUUACAUGAGAAGUUUUGGAUUAAAAAAAAUAUUGUUUUAUGCUUUAAAUACUAGUCAAUAAUCUUUUUCUUUAUCUCUUUGAUUGUAGGACAACAAAAAUUAUGUCCAGUUAGCUUUGGAAAAAUUCAUGAUUGUGGUAAUACUGGAAGUCAAGACUGUGUCACUGCUUCGGCCAGGCUAUUCCCACCAAGUGCUAUGGUUCAAAAUUGUGAAUGUGGUCCUCGUGAAAUACCAGAUCAUAGUGUUUGUCGUUGUCAAAUCAGUUGCAGAUCUCCUCCACCACCACAAUCGAAUUAAUAACUUGUCGCUGCUAUAUAUGCAGUCCAUUUUAGUUUUAAUUUUUAUUGCUUGGAUCUGAAAUGGAGUUCAUUAGUUUGGAGAGUAG